GACACGACCGUACCGCAAACCGACACUGGUGCGCGAGAUGAGUAUUCUAAGGCGCUUGAGAGAACUCAGGAGAAGGAACUCGGCAAAUUGACACCGUAACUUCGGAAGGAGGUGUGCCUUUAGUAGGUGAACCUGUACAAGGGGAGCCCAAUGAGGUUGCAAAAAAUCGGUGGCUGCGACUGUUUAAUAAAAACACAGCACUCUGCAAACACGAAAGUGGACGUAUAGGGUGUGACGCCUGCCCGGUGCUGGAAGAUUAAAUGAUGGGGUGCAAGCUCUUGAUUGAAGUCCCAGUAAACGGCGGCCGUAACGAUAACGGUCCUAAGGUAGCGAAAUUCCUUGUCGGGUAAGUUCCGACCUGCACGAAUGGCGUAACGAUGGCCACACUGUCUCCUCCUGAGACUCAGCGAAGUUGAAAUGUUUGUGAUGAUGCAAUCUCCCCGCGGAAAGACGGAAAGACCCCAUGAACCUUUACUGUAGCUUUGUAUUGGACUUUGAACAGAUCUGUGUAGGAUAGGUGGGAGGCUUUGAAGUGUGGUCGCUAGAUCGCAUGGAGCCAACGUUGAAAUACCACCCUGGUGUGUUUGAGGUUCUAACCUAGGCCCGUAAUCCGGGUCGGGGACAGUGCAUGGUAGGCAGUUUGACUGGGGCGGUCUCCUCCCAAAGCGUAACGGAGGAGUUCGAAGGUACGCUAGGUACGGUCGGACAUCGUGCUAAUAGUGCAAUGGCAUAAGCGUGCUUAACUGCGAGACUGACAAGUCGAGCAGAUGCGAAAGCAGGACAUAGUGAUCCGGUGGUUCUGUAUGGAAGGGCCAUCGCUCAACGGAUAAAAGGUACUCUGGGGAUAACAGGCUGAUACCGCCCAAGAGUUCAUAUCGACGGCGGUGUUUGGCACCUCGAUGUCGGCUCAUCUCAUCCUGGGGCUGUAGCCGGUCCCAAGGGUAUGGCUGUUCGCCAUUUAAAGAGGUACGUGAGCUGGGUUUAAAACGUCGUGAGACAGUUUGGUCCCUAUCUUCCGUGGGCGCUGCAGAUUUGAGGAAGCCUGCUCCUAGUACGAGAGGGCCGGAGUGGACACACCUCUGGUGUAUCGGUUGUCACGCCAGUGGCAUUGCCGAGUAGCUAUGUGUGGAAGAGAUAACCGCUGAAAGCAUCUAAGCGGGAAACUCGUUUCAAGAUGAGAUCUGCCGGGGCCUUGAGCCCCCUAAAGAGUCGUUCAAGACCAGGACGUUGAUAGGUCGGGUGUGGAAGCGCAGUAAUGCGUUAAGCUAACCGAUACUAAUUGCUCGUGCGGCUUGAUCAA
This 1300-nucleotide ribosomal RNA is filed under the name metagenome. RNAcentral describes it as "bacterial LSU rRNA". It matches the Rfam family "Bacterial large subunit ribosomal RNA", at positions 1635 to 2925 of the family's 2925-position model. The record is from RNAcentral.